GCGGUCUGAAAAUCAUCCGGGGUCUGUCGUGGCCCCGGGCGAGAUAACGGCGCCCACAGCAUGGGGAACAUUAAGCUUAUUGCCCACGGCUGUGUGUGGGGAAUGAAACCCAUGUUCCCACAAGC
This 125-nucleotide small nucleolar RNA is filed under the name Chloebia gouldiae (Gouldian finch). RNAcentral's name for it is "Erythrura gouldiae (Gouldian finch) Small nucleolar RNA ACA64 (ENSEGOG00005013034.1)". It matches the Rfam family "Small nucleolar RNA ACA64". The record is from Rfam by way of RNAcentral. Lineage: Eukaryota; Metazoa; Chordata; Aves; Passeriformes; Passeridae.